GAUGAACGCUGGCGGCGUGCCUAAUACAUGCAAGUCGAACGAGGUGCUUGAGUAGCAAUACAAGAGUAUCCUAGUGGCGAACGGGUGAGUAACGCGUGGGUGACCUGCCCCGAAGUGUGGGAUAACAGUCCGAAAGGAUUGCUAAUACCUCAUGUGGUUAUCGGAUUUAGAAACUGAUAACUAAAGCAGCAAUGCGCUUUGGGAGGGACCUGCGUCCCAUCAGCUAGUUGGUGAGGUAACGGCUCACCAAGGCUACGACGGGUAGGGGACCUGAGAGGGUGACCCCCCACAAUGGAACUGAAACACGGUCCAUACACCUACGGGUGGCAGCAGUAGGGAAUAUUGCACAAUGGGCGAAAGCCUGAUGCAGCAACGCCGCGUGUGCGAUGAAGGCCCUCGGGUCGUAAAGCACUUUUCUGAGAGAUGAGUAAGGACAGUAUCUCAGGAAUAAGUCUCGGCUAACUACGUGCCAGCAGCCGCGGUAAAGUAG
RNAcentral lists this ribosomal RNA (490 nucleotides) under uncultured bacterium. RNAcentral's name for it is "bacterial SSU rRNA". It matches the Rfam family "Bacterial small subunit ribosomal RNA", at positions 28 to 530 of the family's 1533-position model. The record is from RNAcentral.